AACUGAAGAGUUUGAUCAUGGCUCAGAUUGAACGCUGGCGGCAGGCUUAACACAUGCAAGUCGAGCGGGGGAAGGUAGCUUGCUACUGGACCUAGCGGCGGACGGGUGAGUAAUGCUUAGGAAUCUGCCUAUUAGUGGGGGACAACAUCUCGAAAGGGAUGCUAAUACCGCAUACGUCCUACGGGAGAAAGCAGGGGAUCUUCGGACCUUGCGCUAAUAGAUGAGCCUAAGUCGGAUUAGCUAGUUGGUGGGGUAAAGGCCUAC
Molecule: ribosomal RNA, 264 nt
Filed under: Acinetobacter baumannii
Lineage: Bacteria; Pseudomonadati; Pseudomonadota; Gammaproteobacteria; Moraxellales; Moraxellaceae
Description: partial 16S ribosomal RNA
Rfam family: Bacterial small subunit ribosomal RNA
Source: RNAcentral